AUUUCUAAAGGAUAAUAGUCAAUCCAUUGGUCUUAGGAACCAAAAACUCUUGGUGCAACUCCAAGUAGAAAUU
RNAcentral lists this transfer RNA (73 nucleotides) under Microrasbora rubescens. RNAcentral describes it as "tRNA-Leu". It matches the Rfam family "tRNA". Rfam says of the family: Transfer RNA (tRNA) molecules are approximately 80 nucleotides in length. Their secondary structure includes four short double-helical elements and three loops (D, anti-codon, and T loops). The record is from RNAcentral. RNAcentral also lists the same sequence under 1 other name. Lineage: Eukaryota; Metazoa; Chordata; Actinopteri; Cypriniformes; Danionidae.